This 678-nucleotide long non-coding RNA is filed under the name Manacus vitellinus (golden-collared manakin). Its description in RNAcentral is "lncRNA (ENSMVIG00005016554.1)". Lineage: Eukaryota; Metazoa; Chordata; Aves; Passeriformes; Pipridae. The record is from RNAcentral.
AUGACAAAAUGCAGAAACUUCCAUGUACUUUCAGAACUGUGCAUGGACAGGAGUGGCACGUGUGCUCCUCUGCUGUGGAAUGCAUGGGCAGCCCCCUCGAGGCAGGGGAGAACGGCUGGAGCUCUGCUGCUGUUGGAAGCUCUGUCACUCCAGUGCUUUAUUAGAAUGGGAUGUUGGACACAGUGCCAAGAGGUUAAGGAGCUCAAUCCAAGGCCUGUGCACCCUGGAGAAUGGGAGGAGUAUCCACCCCAUCCCUGCACUGCGAGUGAGGAACCUGGCCAUGGAACUUGGAGACUAUCUUUGCAAGACAGGAAAUAAAAGGUAAAGCCUAACCAGCAAACAGAAUCUUGCUGGUUCUUUGGAGGAAGCCGAGAAGCCACAACAGAGAAGGGCACAAAACCAAAAUAAUUUUGUAGCUGCAUUUGGGUGCACUAGAAGAGGAGAGAUGGUAUGGCCAAGUUCCCAUCGGAAGGGAGGUGCAGGGAAUGAGGCACAAAAUUAACACAGUGUGGAUCAUUUUGGCAACGAAGUUUAGGAGGAAAAAUUUUUGAGAGAUGAUGUUAAAAAGUAAGGGUGGGGAUGAGCUAAUGCCUGGUGGUAAAGAGGUGGAGAAAGCAGAGUCAUGGCUGACUGAGAGGUUACAAACUCAGGUCAGGAAGAGGACAGUGGGUGUGAGCC